UACAGGGGGGGCACGCGUUGUUCGGAAUUACUGGGCGUAAAGGGCUCGUAGGCGGCCAACUAAGUCCGACGUGAAAUCCCCAAGCUUAACUUGGGAACUGCGUCGGAUACUGGAUGGCUUGAAUUCGGGAGAGGGAUGCAGAAUUCCAGGUGUAGCGGUGAAAUGCGUAGAUAUCUGGAGGAAUACCGGUGGCGAAGGCGGCAUCCUGGACCGACAUCGACGCUGAGGAGCGAAAGCUAGGGGAGCAAACGGG
RNAcentral lists this ribosomal RNA (253 nucleotides) under uncultured bacterium. RNAcentral's name for it is "partial 16S ribosomal RNA". It matches the Rfam family "Bacterial small subunit ribosomal RNA", at positions 524 to 776 of the family's 1533-position model. The record is from RNAcentral.